GUUUUUAUAAUUUAAUAAAAAUAUUGGUUUUGUAAACCAAAAAUAGGAUCUUAUCCUUAAAAACA
This 65-nucleotide transfer RNA is filed under the name Entomoscelis adonidis. Its description in RNAcentral is "tRNA-Thr". It matches the Rfam family "tRNA". Rfam says of the family: Transfer RNA (tRNA) molecules are approximately 80 nucleotides in length. Their secondary structure includes four short double-helical elements and three loops (D, anti-codon, and T loops). Further hydrogen bonds mediate the characteristic L-shaped molecular structure. tRNAs have two regions of fundamental functional importance: the anti-codon, which is responsible for specific mRNA codon recognition, and the 3' end, to which the tRNAs corresponding amino acid is attached (by aminoacyl-tRNA synthetases). tRNAs cope with the degeneracy of the genetic code in two manners: having more than one tRNA (with a specific anti-codon) for a particular amino acid; and 'wobble' base-pairing, i.e. permitting non-standard base-pairing at the 3rd anti-codon position. Lineage: Eukaryota; Metazoa; Arthropoda; Insecta; Coleoptera; Chrysomelidae. The record is from RNAcentral.